AGAGUUUGAUCUUGGCUCAGGACGAACGCUGGCGGCGUGCUUAAAACAUGCAAGUCGAACGGAGCACCCCUGAAAGAGUUUUCGGACAAUGGAAGGGAAUGCUUAGUGGCGGACUGGUGAGUAACGCGUGAGGAACCUGCCUUCCAGAGGUGGACAACAGUUGGAAACGACUGCUAAUACCGCAUGAUGUGUUUCGAUGGCAUCAUCGAGACACCAAAGAUUUAUCGCUGGAAGAUGGCCUCGCGUCUGAUUAGCUGGUAGGCGGGGUAACGGCCCACCUAGGCGACGAUCAGUAGCCGGACUGAGAGGUUGACCGGCCACAUUGGGACUGAGAUACGGCCCAGACUCCUUCGGGAGGCAGCAGUGGGGAAUAUUGGGCAAUGGGCGCAAGCCUGACCCAGCAACGCCGCGUGAAGGAAGAAGGCUUUCGGGUUGUAAACUUCUUUUAAGAGGGAAGAGCAGAAGACGGUACCUCUUGAAUAAGCCACGGCUAACUACGUGCCAGCAGCCGCGGUAAUACGUAGGUGGCAAGCGUUGUCCGGAUUUACUGGGUGUAAAGGGCGUGCAGCCGGGAAGACAAGUCAGAUGUGAAAUCCCGCGGCUCAACCGCGGAACUGCAUUUGAAACUGUUUUUCUUGAGUACCGGAGAGGUCAUCGGAAUUCCUUGUGUAGCGGUGAAAUGCGUAGAUAUAAGGAAGAACACCAGUGGCGAAGGCGGAUGACUGGACGGCAACUGACGGUGAGGCGCGAAAGCGUGGGGAGCAAACAGGAUUAGAUACCCUGGUAGUCCACGCCGUAAACGAUGAUUACUAGGUGGUAAUGGGGUAUGGACCCACCCGGUUCCCGCAGCAAACGCCAGUAAGUAAUCCACAUAGGGAGAACGUUAGCAAGAAAUGAAACUCAAAGGAAUUGACGGGGGCCCGCCCAAGCGGUGGAGCAUGUGGUUUAAUUAGAAGCAACGCGAAGAACCUUACCAGGUCUUGACAUCCAGUGCAAACAUAAGAGAUUAGGUGUUCCCUUGGGGGACGCUGAGACAGGUGGUGCAUGGCUGUCGUCAGCUCGUGUCGAGAGAUGUUGGGUUAAGUCCCGCAACGACCGCAUCCCUUGUCAUUAGUUGCCAUCAUUAAGUUGGGCACUCUAAUGAGACUGCCGGUGACAAACCGGAGGAAGGUGGGGAUGACGUCAAGUCAUCAUGCCCCUUAUGACCUGGGCUACACACGUGCUACAAUGGACGGUACAACGAGAAGCGAACCUGCGAAGGCAAGCGGAUCUCUUAAAGCCGUUCUCAGUUCGGACUGUAGGCUGCAACUCGCCUACACGAAGCUGGAAUCGCUAGUAACCGCGGAUCAGCACGCCGCGG
RNAcentral lists this ribosomal RNA (1360 nucleotides) under uncultured bacterium. RNAcentral's name for it is "partial 16S ribosomal RNA". It matches the Rfam family "Bacterial small subunit ribosomal RNA", at positions 8 to 1362 of the family's 1533-position model. The record is from RNAcentral.